Long non-coding RNA from Engraulis encrasicolus (European anchovy), 451 nucleotides. RefSeq lists it as uncharacterized. Lineage: Eukaryota; Metazoa; Chordata; Actinopteri; Clupeiformes; Engraulidae. The record is from RefSeq and is a predicted model, not a curated record. The transcript has 4 exons.
UGGAAUUGCAUUCCAUCACCCAUCUCCCGAAAUUUGCAUUGAUUGGAGGAGCGGGGUUUGCUUGAUUACGGGGCGGACUCCAACUUCCCAUAAUUAGACUGCAGUGAGACACGGAAGCCCUUUCGCUUCCUUCCGUUCCACCACUGACCGGGGGUUGUGUUGUUGAUGUCGGGGAGGACACUCUAGCUGGUGCUUCUCGCUGUAAGCGAGUGCGUUGACUCGUACAGUCUCUCUCCUGCUGUAAUUGCUCGUGGCUCGGCUUGUGGCUGGAGCACUGAAGUCCUCCGAGUAGUGCGCGAAGCGUGUGCAAGCUUCUGCUACGGAGAUCUUUGCGCCAUCACGAUUCAGAUUGAGGCUACGUGCGCAGUAUAACCACUCGGGCGGGGAGUGACCAGCAACUAGGGUGACUCCGCGGCAUCACAGGCUGCUGCUCUGUUUGGGAACAUAGUCC